UUACCUGUUUUGAUUUUAUUACAAGGAAAAUGUUUCAAAGAUAAAUAAGAAAAAACUGAAAUGGCAUGAUUUUUUGGGGUUGAGUUGGCGUCAUCAUCUAGCAAGGGUGGUUGACCUGCUAGCAUAUCUAUUUAAGAUAUUACUUUAUUAAUGAGUUUUUUUCCCUGCUUAAAUACUAUUCGGGUAAUGAUUUUCAAUGAUGUAAUAGUAAGGCAUGAUGUGGAUUGGAUAGAACAAUCUAAAUACUAUGUCCAUGGUUUGUUGAUGACAUCACAAGACAUAAUGCCAUAGUUGUCAUGGGGAAAGCAUGAGCAAGAGCUUUGAUAGCGGGGAACAGACAGAGACAGACAGUUGAGUGGUGGAUUUUGGUCAAAGGUAAUCUAGGAGAGACGACGAGGAGAGGGAACGUGGACGAAAAUGCCCUUCAGAAGAUGGCAGAGGAUAAAACGGUUGGAGAGGAAAGGCGACAGAGGAGGGAGAAAACCUGGGAAGAGAUGUAUCUGGAGAAGGCGCA
Non-coding RNA from Salmo salar (Atlantic salmon), 514 nucleotides. The record is from RefSeq and is a predicted model, not a curated record. NCBI's taxonomy places the organism in Eukaryota, Metazoa, Chordata, Actinopteri, Salmoniformes, Salmonidae.